GAUGAACGCUGGCGGCGUGCCUAAUACAUGCAAGUCGAGCGAACAGACGAGGAGCUUGCUCCUCUGACGUUAGCGGCGGACGGGUGAGUAACACGUGGAUAACCUACCUAUAAGACUGGGAUAACUUCGGGAAACCGGAGCUAAUACCGGAUAAUAUAUUGAACCGCAUGGUUCAAUAGUGAAAGACGGUUUUGCUGUUACUUAUAGAUGGAUCCGCGCCGCAUUAGCUAGUUGGUAAGGUAACGGCUUACCAAGGCAACGAUGCGUAGCCGACCUGAGAGGGUGAUCGGCCAAACUGGAACUGAGACACGGUCCAGACUCCUACGGGAGGCAGCAGUAGGGAAUCUUCCGCAAUGGGCGAAAGCCUGACGGAGAAACGCCGCGGGAGUGAUGAAGGUCUUCGGAUCGUAAAACUCUGUUAUUAGGGAAGAACAAAUGUGUAAGUAACUAUGCACGUCUUGACGGUACCUAAUCAGAAAGCCACGGCUAACUACGUG
RNAcentral lists this ribosomal RNA (497 nucleotides) under uncultured bacterium. RNAcentral describes it as "partial 16S ribosomal RNA". It matches the Rfam family "Bacterial small subunit ribosomal RNA", at positions 28 to 507 of the family's 1533-position model. The record is from RNAcentral.